GCUUGUCUCAAAGAUUAAGCCAUGCAUGUCUAAGUAUAAACAAAUCUAUACGUGAAACUGCGAAUGGCUCAUUAUAUCAGUUAUAGUUUAUUUGAUGGUUCUUGCUACUUGGAUAACCGUAGUAAUUCUAGAGCUAAUACAUGCGCAAAUACCCAACUGCUUGUCGGACGGGUAGCAUUUAUUAGAUUGAAACCAAUGCAGUCUUCGGGCUGGUAUUGUGUUGAGUCAUAAUAACUGUGCGGAUCGCGUUUUACGCGAUAAAUCGAUUGAGUUUCUGCCCUAUCAGCUUUGGAUGGUAGGAUAUGGGCCUACCAUGGCAUUAACGGGUAACGGGGAAUUAGGGUUUGAUUCCGGAGAGGGAGCCUGAGAGACGGCUACCACAUCCAAGGAAGGCGCAGG
This 399-nucleotide ribosomal RNA is filed under the name Salilagenidium thermophilum. RNAcentral describes it as "partial small subunit ribosomal RNA". It matches the Rfam family "Eukaryotic small subunit ribosomal RNA", at positions 30 to 432 of the family's 1831-position model. The record is from RNAcentral. Lineage: Eukaryota; Oomycota; Peronosporomycetes; Pythiales; Lagenidiaceae.